GGAACUGAUGGAGAAGUCGAGGAGCCUCAGAGAAGGUCUGCUAGACUAUCAGCGGUAAGUUAUUUUGUUAUUAAAGAGAUUUUUACCAUUAUAUCAUUAUUUUGUUUUUAAAACUUUUCUGAUCUCAAAAGACUUGAGGAACUUUAAAUAUAGCUUGGAAAUAGUUUUUAGCACUUCUUGUGUUAAUUGACUAUUUAAAUCCUACAACCAACACUUGUUGGAUUUCAACCUACCGCUGAUCUCAGAGCAACAAGGUCAGAAAACAUAAUAUCUGCGCAAGUCAUUUUUUUUUUCCAGCAUAAGUUUUGCCAGUCAUUUAAGAAGAUGUGCUGACUUCAGGAUAGAGCAGAACAACAUAGGCCAUUCUGUGCAUUAUUUCAACUAUUUAUUUGAACGUGUAUUGUUUAGAUAUCCUUUUAUAUAUCAAAAAGUACGUUUGUGAAUGAAUCCCUUCAGAAACCAACAACUCCGAAACCUGAACCCAAACCGAAAAAAACUCCCAAGGUAUGUCCACUUUUCAUAAACACACUUUUGUAAUGAUGCUCAUGUAUCACUCAUCUCCAUGCUUUGGUGUGUAAUCUCAUACGUAUUGCUCUAUAUUCAUUCUUUUGCUCUGUCGUUUCCUCUCUGGCAGAAAGAGAAGGAAGUGAACGAUAAAAAGGAAGACAAGAAGGCAAAGGCAAAGGCUGAGGAGUCCAAGGAGGAGAACCAAUCAGAAAAUGGGGAGACUAAGACCAAUGAGGUUGAGAAAACUCCAGAUGAGGCGGCAGAGGCCGAGGAGGACCCGAAGACAGAGUAGCACCACGCCUGUCCAUCCAUCCGUCCAUCCUUUCCCUUUCCCCUCUUUCCUUUAUCUUCCUCUCUCUUUCCCAAUACUCUCUCUCCCUCUCCAGCUCUCUCAGCAACCUCCUCUCUGCCCAUCACCACCAGAGGAAUAUUUUUAUCAGCGAAUUUGUAAAUACUGGUUCAGGUUUUUAGCACAAAAAACAAAGCUGACUAAACGAGUCUUGUGUUCGGCCGCAGCUGUAUCAGGUGUCUACAACACGAGAGGUGUGGAAAAAGGCGGCGUCUUUCUUUCGUUUUGUUGAUUUUCUGUUUUUAUCUCUUCUUUCUUUUUUUUCAAGCGGAUGGUCUGUAGCUUGGUUUUGGAGUGGGAGGUGGGAGGAGGCUCUCAGUCUGUAUGUCCGUUAGUGCUCGUGAUGUUGCUCUGGAGUCUGUGAUGUUUCUGUAUGGGGUUUGUUUUAUUUUUCUUUUAAACGUAAUUGAUUGUCUUUAAGAAAGAGGAACGAGUUCAACAAAUGUAGAAGAAAAGCGAGAAAACAACUAAAGACAAACUGCUUACAUUCCAGGUUCAGCAUUAGAUGGUGACUCCUGGCUUUUUAAGAAUCAUACCACCUUUGCAAUUUGUUGAAACAUAACUGGGCUUCGUUAGGAGGCCGGAAAAAACCCUUCUGUUGUUAUAGAGGACUUUUUUGAAAUGACGGGAUUCAAAGAAAACGAAUUUAAAGCGUUUUUUGGAAUUUUUUUAACACUGAAAUUUCAUCUGUGAAAAAGUACUUGGUGUCCCCUAAUAAUGCUCUCGGUCUCACUCAAUAAAAAUCCAUCAUUGGAAUUUUCCUCAU
This 1622-nucleotide long non-coding RNA is filed under the name Sinocyclocheilus grahami. RNAcentral's name for it is "lncRNA (ENSSGRG00000021287.1)". Lineage: Eukaryota; Metazoa; Chordata; Actinopteri; Cypriniformes; Cyprinidae. The record is from RNAcentral.